AUGGCAAAGUUAAUAAGGGCGCACGGUGGAUGCCUUGGCACUAAGAGCCGAUGAAGGACGUGACUAACGACGAUAUUCUAGGGGGAGCAGUAAGUACGCAUUGAUCCCUAGGUCUCCGAAUGGGGAAACCCAGCUGCUACUAGCAGUUAUUCAUGAGUGAAUACAUAGCUCAUGUAAAGGUAACGCAGAGAACUGAAACAUCUAAGUACCUGCAGGAAGAGAAAGUAAAAACGAUUUCGUAAGUAGCGGCGAGCGAACGCGAAGAAGGGCAAACCAAGAAGCUUGCUUCUUGGGGUUGUAGGACUGCAACGUGGACUUAAGCAUUAUAGUCGAAUAACCUGGGAAGGUUAAUCAAAGAGGGUAAUAAUCCCGUAGACGAAAUAGCGCUUAUACCUAGCAGUAUCCUGAGUAGGGCUGGACACGCGAAAUCCAGUUUGAAUCCGGGAGGACCAUCUCCCAACCCUAAAUACUCCUUAGUGACCGAUAGUGAACCAGUACCGUGAGGGAAAGGUGAAAAGAACCCCGAGAGGGGAGUGAAAUAGCACCUGAAACCGUGUGCCUACAAGAAGUUCGAGCCCGUUAAUGGGUGAGAGCGUGCCUUUUGUAGAAUGAACCGGCGAGUUACGUUAUGAUGCGAGGUUAAGUUGAAGAGACGGAGCCGUAGGGAAACCGAGUCUGAAUAGGGCGACUUAGUAUCAUGAUGUAGACCCGAAACCUAGUGACCUAUCCAUGAGCAGGGUGAAGGUGUGGUAAGACACACUGGAGGCCCGAACCAGGACACGUUGAAAAGUGUUUGGAUGACUUGUGGAUAGCGGAGAAAUUCCAAACGAACUGGGAGAUAGCUGGUUCUCUCCGAAAUAGCUUUAGGGCUAGCGUCGAAAUGUAAGUGUAUUGGAGGUAGAGCACUGUUUGGGUGAGGGGUCCGUCUAGGAUUACCAAUCUCAGAUAAACUCCGAAUGCUAAUACACAUGUUCGGCAGUCAGACUGCGAGUGCUAAGAUCCGUAGUCGAAAGGGAAACAGCCCAGACCAACAGCUAAGGUCCCAAAAUAUAUGUUAAGUGGAAAAGGAUGUGGGGUUGCACAGACAACUAGGAUGUUAGCUCAGAAGCAGCUAUCAUUCAAAGAGUGCGUAAUAGCUCACUAGUCGAGUGACCCUGCGCCGAAAAUGUACCGGGGCUAAACAUAUUACCGAAGCUUUGGAUUGAUAUUUUAUCAAUGGUAGGAGAGCGUUCUUAACCGCGAUGAAGGUAUACCGUGAGGAGUGCUGGAGCGUUAAGAAGUGAGAAUGCCGGUAUGAGUAGCGCAAGAUAAGUGAGAAUCUUAUCCACCGUAAGACUAAGGUUUCCAGGGGAAGGCUCGUCCGCCCUGGGUUAGUCGGGACCUAAGGCGAGGCCGAAAGGCGUAGUCGAUGGACAACUGGUUGAUAUUCCAGUACUAGAUAUGAUCGUGAUGGAGGGACGCAGUAGGCUAAGAGAUGCCAGUUAAUGGAUUCUGGUCUAAGCAGUGAGGUGUGAGAUGUGUCAAAUGCAUUUCUCUUUAACAUUGAGCUGUGAUGGGGAAGCAACUACGGUUGCGAACUCUCUGAUGUCACACUGCCAAGAAAAGCUUCUAGCGUAAAGUCAUAUCUACCCGUACCGCAAACCGACACAGGUAGUCGAGGCGAGUAGCCUCAGGUGAUCGAGAGAACUCUCGUUAAGGAACUCGGCAAAAUAGCCCCGUAACUUCGGGAGAAGGGGUGCUGGUGUAAAAGCCAGCCGCAGUGAAUAGGCCCAAGCAACUGUUUAUCAAAAACACAGCUCUCUGCUAAACCGCAAGGUGAUGUAUAGGGGGUGACGCCUGCCCGGUGCUGGAAGGUUAAGAGGAGUGCUUAGACGUAAGUCGAAGGUAUGAAUUGAAGCCCCAGUAAACGGCGGCCGUAACUAUAACGGUCCUAAGGUAGCGAAAUUCCUUGUCGGGUAAGUUUCCGACCCGCACGAAAGGCGUAAUGAUUUGGGCACUGUCUCAACGAGAGACUCGGUGAAAUUUUAGUACCUGUGAAGAUGCAGGUUACCCGCGACAGGACGGAAAGACCCCAUGGAGCUUUACUGUAGUUUGAUAUUGAGUACCUGUAAGUCAUGUACAGGAUAGGUAGGAGCCAUUGAA
Molecule: ribosomal RNA, 2142 nt
Filed under: Lactococcus lactis RTB018
Lineage: Bacteria; Bacillati; Bacillota; Bacilli; Lactobacillales; Streptococcaceae
Description: bacterial LSU rRNA
Rfam family: Bacterial large subunit ribosomal RNA
Source: RNAcentral